ACCCUUCGGGGGGACGACGCCUUUAAUGAGCGGCGGACGGGUGAGUAACACGUAAAGAACCUGCCCAUAGGUCUGGGAUAACCACGAGAAAUCGGGGCUAAUACCGGAUGUGUCAUCGGACCGCAUGGUCCGCUGAUGAAAGGCGCUUCGGCGUCGCCCAUGGAUGGCUUUGCGGUGCAUUAGCUAGUUGGUGGGGUAAUGGCCCACCAAGGCGACGAUGCAUANCCGACCUGAGAGGGUGAUCGGCCACACUGGGACUGAGACACGGCCCAGACUCCUACGGGAGGCAGCAGUAGGGAAUCUUCCACAAUGGACGAAAGUCUGAUGGAGCAACGCCGCGUGAACGAUGAAGGCUUUCGGGUCGUAAAGUUCUGUUGUAAGGGAAGAACAAGUGCCGCAGGCAAUGGCGGCACCUUGACGGUACCUUGCGAGAAAGCCACGGCUAACUACGUGCCAGCAGCCGCGGUAAUACGUAGGUGGCAAGCGUUGUCCGGAAUUAUUGGGCGUAAAGCGCGCGCAGGCGGCCUCUUAAGUCUGAUGUGAAAGCCCCCGGCUCAACCGGGGAGGGCCAUUGGAAACUGGGAGGCUUGAGUAUAGGAGAGAAGAGUGGAAUUCCACGUGUAGCGGUGAAAUGCGUAGAGAUGUGGAGGAACACCAGUGGCGAAGGCGACUCUUUGGCCUAUAACUGACGCUGAGGCGC
This 700-nucleotide ribosomal RNA is filed under the name bacterium Pu.J9. RNAcentral's name for it is "bacterial SSU rRNA". It matches the Rfam family "Bacterial small subunit ribosomal RNA", at positions 66 to 754 of the family's 1533-position model. The record is from RNAcentral.